AGCAGCCGCGGUAAUUCCAGCUCCAAUAGCGUAUAUUAAAGUUGUUGCAGUUAAAAAGCUCGUAGUUGAAUUUCGGGACUAAUAUGUCGGUCGUACUUUGUACGUACUAACAUUAUUGGUUUCUUCCUUCUGACGAACCACGAUGUCAUUAAUUUGGUGUCGCGGGAAAUCAGGACUGUUACUUUGAAAAAAUUAGAGUGUUUAAAGCAAGCUCGCGCUUGAGUACAUUAGCAUGGAAUAAUGAAAUAGGACGUUUGAUUCUAUUUUGUUGGUUUCUAGGAUCGACGUAAUGAUUAAUAGGGAUAGUUGGGGCAUUAGUAUUCAAUUGUCAGAGGUGAAAUUCUUGGAUUUAUUGAAGACUAACUACUGCGAAAGCAUUUUGCCAAGGAU
This 390-nucleotide ribosomal RNA is filed under the name uncultured Glomus. Its description in RNAcentral is "SSU rRNA". It matches the Rfam family "Eukaryotic small subunit ribosomal RNA", at positions 569 to 965 of the family's 1831-position model. The record is from RNAcentral. Lineage: Eukaryota; Fungi; Glomeromycota; Glomeromycetes; Glomerales; Glomeraceae.